Molecule: ribosomal RNA, 380 nt
Filed under: uncultured eukaryote
Lineage: Eukaryota
Description: partial 18S ribosomal RNA
Rfam family: Eukaryotic small subunit ribosomal RNA
Source: RNAcentral
CAAUAGCGUAUAUUAAAGUUGUUGCAGUUAAAAAGCUCGUAGUUGGAUUUGUGGCGUACGGUGUGUUCCGGGCACUUGUUGUCUGAGUAACCUGCUGUUGCCAUCCUUGGGUGGAACCUGUGUGGCACUAGGUUGUCGUGCAGGGGAUGCCCAUCAUUUACUGUGAAAAAAUUAGAGUGUUCAAAGCAGGCUUAUGCCGUUGAAUAUAUUAGCAUGGAAUAAUGAGAUAGGACUUUUUUGCUAUUUUGUUGGUUUGCGCAAAGAGGUAAUGAUUAAUAGGGACAGUUGGGGGUAUUCGUAUUCCAUUGUCAGAGGUGAAAUUCUUGGAUUUUUGGAAGACGAACUACUGCGAAAGCAUUUACCAAGGAUGUUUUCAUUAA